AAUAGCUCACUAGUCGAGUCGGCCUGCGCGGAAGAUGUAACGGGGCUCAAACUGGAUACCGAAGCUGCGGCUGCAUACUAUGUAUGCGGGGUAGGGGAGCGUUGUGUAAGUCUGUGAAGGUGUGUUGAGAAGCAUGCUGGAGAUAUCACAAGUGCGAAUGCUGACGUGAGUAACGAUAAUGGGAGUGAAAAACUCCCACGCCGAAAGACCAAGGUUUCCUGCGCAACGCUAAUCGGCGCAGGGUGAGUCGGCCCCUAAGGCGAGGCAGAAAUGCGUAGCUGAUGGGAAACGGGUUAAUAUUCCCGUACUUCUUAUAACUGCGAUGGAGAGACGGAGAAGGCUAUGCCUACCGGGCGUUGGUUGUCCCGGGGAAAGGCUGUAGGCUGAGGUGUUAGGCAAAUCCGGCACCUUAAGGCUGAGAGUCGAGACCACUGGUCCUUUGUGACCGGGAAGUGGUUGAUGCCAUGCUUCCAGGAAAAUCUUCUAAGCUUCAGGUUAUAAGGAACCGUACCCCAAACCGACACAGGUGGUUGGGAUGAGUAUUCUAAGGCGCUUGAGAGAACUCGGGUGAAGGAACUAGGCAAAGUGGUACCGUAACUUCGGGAGAAGGUACGCCGCUGAAGGUGAUGAGACUUGCUCUCUGAGCUAUCGGCGGUCGCAGUGAAAAGGCCCCUGCAACUGUUUAUUAAAAACACAGCACUCUGCAAACGCGUAAGCGGACGUAUAGGGUGUGACGCCUGCCCGGUGCCGGAAGGUUAAUUGAUGGGGUUAGCUUCGGCGAAGCUCUUGAUCGAAGCCCCGGUAAACGGCGGCCGUAACUAUAACGGUCCUAAGGUAGCGAAAUUCCUUGUCGGGUAAGUUCCGACCUGCACGAAUGGCGUAAUGAUGGGGGCGCUGUCUCCACCCGAGACUCAGUGAAAUCGAAAUCGCAGUGAAGAUGCUGUGUACCCGCGGCUAGACGGAAAGACCCCGUGAACCUUUACUAUAGCUUCACAGUGGACUUUGAACCUGUUUGUGUAGGAUAGCUGGGAGACUUUGAAGCAGUGACGCUAGUUACUGUGGAGUCGUCCUUGAAAUACCAGCCUGGCAUGUUUGAGGUUCUAACCUAGGUCCCUUAUCGGGAUCGGGGACAUUGUGUGGUGGGUAGUUUGACUGGGGCGGUCUCCUCCCAAAGAGUAACGGAGGAGCACAAAGGUACCCUCAGCACGGUCGGACAUCGUGCAACGAGCGUAAAGGUAGAAGGGUGCUUGACUGCGAGACCUACAAGUCGAGCAGGUGCGAAAGCAGGUCUUAGUGAUCCGGUGGUUCUGUAUGGAAGGGCCAUCGCUCAACGGAUAAAAGGUACUCCGGGGAUAACAGGCUGAUACCGCCCAAGAGUUCAUAUCGACGGCGGUGUUUGGCACCUCGAUGUCGGCUCAUCUCAUCCUGGGGCUGAAGCCGGUCCCAAGGGUAUGGCUGUUCGCCAUUUAAAGAGGUACGCGAGCUGGGUUUAGAACGUCGUGAGACAGUUCGGUCCCUAUCUGCCGUGGGCGUUGGAGAUUUGAGAGGAGCUGCUCCUAGUACGAGAGGACCGGAGUGGACGAACCUCUGGUGUUCCGGUUGUCACGCCAGUGGCAUUGCCGGGUAGCUACGUUCGGACGGGAUAACCGCUGAAAGCAUCUAAGCGGGAAGCCUCCCUCAAGAUGAGAUCUCCCUGGGAACUUGAUUCCCCUGAAGGGCCGUUGAAGACCACAACGUUGAUAGGCUGGGUGUGGAAGCGUUGUAAGGCGUGAAGCUAACCAGUACUAAUUGCCCGUGAGGCUUGACUAU
This 1809-nucleotide ribosomal RNA is filed under the name seawater metagenome. RNAcentral describes it as "bacterial LSU rRNA". It matches the Rfam family "Bacterial large subunit ribosomal RNA", at positions 1136 to 2925 of the family's 2925-position model. The record is from RNAcentral.